Molecule: ribosomal RNA, 774 nt
Filed under: uncultured Neocallimastigales
Lineage: Eukaryota; Fungi; Neocallimastigomycota; Neocallimastigomycetes; Neocallimastigales
Description: partial large subunit ribosomal RNA
Rfam family: Eukaryotic large subunit ribosomal RNA
Source: RNAcentral
UAUGUGAUCGUCUCUCGCAUAUCAAUAAGCGGAGGAAAAGAAACUAACAAGGAUUCCCCUAGUAACGGCGAGUGAAGCGGGAAGAGCUCAAAUUUGAAAUCUUAAAGGGUUUCCCUUUACGAAUUGUAGUUUAAAGAAGUGUUUUCUGUUGAGGUUUUGGUAAAAGUUCUUUGGAAUAGGACAUCAUAGAGGGUGAGAAUCCCGUAUUUGACCUUUACUUUCAACUUUGUGAUACACUUUCAAAGAGUCGGAUUGUUUGGGAAUGCAGUCCAAAAUGGGUGGUAAAUUUCAUCUAAAGCUAAAUAUUGGCGAGAGACCGAUAGCGAACAAGUACCGUGAGGGAAAGAUGAAAAGAACUUUGAAAAGAGAGUUAAACAGUACGUGAAAUUGUCAAAAGGGAAGCGUUUGACACCAGUGUUGUUUUUCUGAAAAUCAAUUAAAGAACUGUUUAUGCUAAGCUGUUUAGACUUUAUCAGCUAACUGUUUAGUUUUGAGCUUUUCUUUAAUGCACUUUUCAGUUAACAAGUCAACAUCAAUUUCUUUUGCUGUAAAAAAGCUUGAGGAAGGUGGCUUGAGAUUCGUCUUAAGUGUUUAUAGCCUCUUGCCUAUGCAGUCGGAGAGAUUGAGGUCUGCAGCGUAGAUCCUUCGGGGCUAAAUGCAUUUGUGCUAAGUUAUAGCAUUUUAUAGACAACUUGUUGACUAUGAUUUGUCUUGUAGCUUACUCGCUUAUGUUAUUUUACCUACGCUUAGGAUGUUGAACACGCACAGAGUCUC